GCGCCGCCUUCGAUUCUCGCCUGCAAGUGUCGGGCCUUCCCCGUCAUCAGGUUUGCGAACGGCCCCGCCCGCUGGUUUGUCUUGGCCACCUCGGUUGGGAACCUUCCCGCAAAUCAGGCCUGAGUCAGGACCGGAAGCCUGUGAAGUGCUGAUCGGUUCCCGACAGUGAGAGCACGAAGUCACGGUACCCAUUUGGUGGGAGGGAAGUGGAGCACCGCCCAAGAAGCCUCCGGUUGGCAUCUGGGGCUGGGCACCAGGAGCUGGAAAUGACCCGGCCUUACUCCGAGGCGAGUGGUGAUCCCAUAGAUCUGAACACCUCAUAGCUCUGUGCGUGUUCCAGCUGGGUCGUGUUCACUCCAGGUCCUGAUCUCCUCUCUGAUCCUCUCAUACCAACUAUAGGCGUGCUGUUUAAAAGUGUUCUUAUGGAUGUGUCAACCAGGAAAACUCUGGUUCAACGGAGUUCAGCAGUUCUCUAAUUAAAUAGGUUUUGGGGUCUUUAAUUUGCUAAUAUAAAAAAAAAUGCUAAUAUACAUUUUUUGGUCUUUUUUAAAUUGAAGUGUAGUUGACUUACAAUGUUGUGUUAAUUUCUGCUACAUAGCAAAGUGAUUCAGUUAUACAUAAUAUAAUCUUUCUCAUAUUCUUUUCCAUUAUGAUUUACUACAAGGAUAUUGAAUAUAGUUCCCUGUGCUGUACAGCAAAUUCUUGUUGUCUAGUUUAUACAUAAUAAGCUUGUAUCUGCUAAUUCUAUAGUCCUAAUUUAUCCCUCUACUACCCCCUUUCCACUUUGGUAACCAUAAGUUUGGAGGUGUUUGUUUAUAUUUCUUUGUUUUGGGCAUGCCCUCGGCAUGCCUGGGUUCCUGAUCCAGGAUCAAACCUAUGCCACAGAAGUGAUGAGAGCCACAGCAGUGACAAUGCCAAAUCCUUAACCUGCUGAGCCACCAGGGAACUCUCCCAAAGUUUGCUUUCUCUGGAAGUUUUUUUCUGUGUUUCAUAAAUAGUUCAUUUGUGUCAUAUUUGAGAUUCCACAUAUAAAUGACAUCAUAUAGUUUUGCCUUUUUCUGACUUACUUCACUUAAUACUCUCUAGGUCCAUCCAUGUUGUUGCAAAUGGCAUUAUUUCAUUUUUUUAUUUGGCUGAGUAGUAGUCUAGGGUGUAUCUAUACCACAUCUUCUUUGUUAAUUCCUUUCCCAGUGGGUAUUUAGGUUGCUUCAAUCUUGGCUAUUGUAAAUAGUCCUGCUGUGAAAAUUGGGAUGCUUGUAUCUUUGCAAAUUAGAGCUUUCAUCUUUUCCAAGUAUAUGCCCAGGAGUGGGACUGCUGAAUUAUAUGAUAGCUCUAUUUUUAGUUUUUUAAGAAAGUUAAAAAACUAAACAGCAAAAGCUUUUGGUUGUUAAUGAGUUGUAUGAGGUGUUUGUGUAUUUUGGAAAUUAAGCCUUUGUUGGUUGAGUGUUUGCAAAUAUUUUUUUCUUUCUUUCUUUUUUUUUUUUUUUUUGGUCUUUUUAGGGCUGCACCUGAGGCAUAUGGAAGUUCCCAGGCUAGGAGCUGAAUUGGAGCUGUAGCUACUGGCCUACACCACAGCCACAGCAACGCCAGAUCCAAGCCGAAUCUGUGAACUACACCACAGCUCACGGCAACACCAGAUCCUUAACCCACUGAGCAAGGCCAAGGAUCGAACCUGUGUCCUCAUGGUUACUAGUCAGGUUCAUUUCUGCUGAGCCGCAAUGGGAACUCCUGCAAAUAUUUUCUUCCAGUUCAUAUGUUGUUGUUUUGUUUAUGGUUUCCUUUGCUUUGUAAAAGUUACAGCUACAGCUCUUAUAAAUUUGAUUAGAUCCCAUUUGUUUAUUUUGCUUUUAUUUGUAUUGCCUUGGUGUACUGACCUAAGAGAAUGCUGCUGUUUAUGUCAGAGAAUGUUUUGCCUAUGUUCUCUUCUAGUUUUAUGGUAUCAUGUCUUAUAUUUAAAUCUUUAAGUCAUUUUGAGUUUAUUUUUGUGUGGGGUGUAAGGGUGUGUUCUAACUUCAUUGAUUUACUUGUGGCUAUUGAGCUUUCCCAACAGCACUUGCUGAAGAGACUUUUUCUACAUUGUAUAUUCUUGCAUCCUUUGUCAAAGAUUAAUUGACUGUAGGUGUAUGGGUUUACUUUUGGGCUCUCUAUUCUGUUCAUUUGAUUCAUAUGUUUUUUGCCAGUACUGCACUGUUUUGAUUACUAUAACUUUGUAGUAUUUUCUGAAGUCUGGGAGGGUUAUUACUCUAGGUUUAUUCUUUCCUCAGGAUUGCUUUGGCAAUUUCUGGGUAUUUUGUGGUUCCAUAUAAGUUUUAGGAUUAUUUGCUCUAGUUCUGUGGAAAAUGCCAUGGGUAAUUUGAUAGGGAUCAUGUUAAAUCUGUAAAUUUCUGGAGUUCCCAUUGUAGCACAGUGGAAAUGAAUCCAGCUAGUAUCUAUAAAGAUGCGGGUUCAAUCGCUGGCCUUGCUCAGUGGGUUAAAUGAUCCAGCGUUGCCAUGAGUGUUGUCUGUGAUGUAAGACACAGAUGCAGCUCAGAUCCCUAGUUGUUGUGGCCGUGGUGUAGGCCAGCAGCUGUAGCUUCAUUUCAACCCCUAGUCUGGGAAUUUUCAUAUGCCACAAGUGCUGCCCUAAAAAGAAAAAAAAAAAAAUCUGUAGAUUGCUUUGGGUGGUAUUGUCAGAUAAUAUAUAUACACUUUCUAAUCAUAAUGACUAGCAUUUGUUUUACCUUAACUUUGUAUUACAGUAAUUUACAAUGUCAUUUAAUCAUUUUAAUCUUAUUAAUCAGCAAAAUGUUACAGAUGAAGAAAUAAAAUUGUAAAGAGACAUGACUGAGUUUCCAUUCUAAUGAUGGAGUUAGACCCAAACUAGGUCAUUUAUACUGAUUGUCCACAAAUCCCUUUUUAAAUCAGAGCAUCACUUGAGACCAGGCCUACAAAGAGUACACUUGUCUUGGAGUCCUUGGAGGGGGCAGCUAUGAGGUCAAAGUCAAAGGAGGAAAUGAGAGCUCUAGCACUAACUUGGGAAAGGUGGAUUGCCUGGCUUCUGACAACAAGGUGAAGUGUUGGGGAAACUGCAGGAGAUUAAGGUAAGGAUGCCAGCAGUACCUCCUGCUACCCCUAAACACACCUGCCCCUCCCUACAGCCCUUGCAGAACACUCCCAAAUAUUCUAAUGACACCCUGAAGGUGGAGCCAGUGCUGGAAGGGAAUCUGAGCCUCCUGCUCCUGAAGAAUGAAUUAAAAAACAAAACAAGUAAACCCCCAAACCCUAGGACUAGGAGGUGAGAACUUGACUCAAUAUCUGGUCUAAUCCAGUCACACUGGAAUUGUUGGGGUGGAGAGAGAAGUAGAUUCUGAAUAGAUUUAACUCCCAUCUGCGGCAUGUGGAAGUUCCUGGACCAGGGAUCCAUCCUGUGCCACGGCAGCAACUUGGGCUGCUGAAGUGACAAUGCCGGCUCCCUAACCCACUGCACUGCAGGAGAUUUAAGAGGAGAGAAUAUAGACUCCUCGAUGGGAGGAGUGUCAGCAUCACAUUAAAGAAGAGCAUGUGGUAUAGAAUAUCUUGCAACCCUCUUGAAAAAUGAAAUGGAAUGGUGAAAGACUAAGUACUUUCCUACAGGGACUGAGAUAACCCCAAAGCACCAUGUUUUGAUAACUAUUUGUGUAUAACCACUUCAAAACAUAGUGGCCUAAAAUAACAAUUUAGGAGUUUCUGCUGUGUCGCAGUGGGUAAAUGAUCUGGCUUGUCUCUGUGGAGGUGUGAGUUGGAUCUCUUGCCUGGCGCAGUGGGUUGGGGAUCCAGUGUUGCUGCAGCUCUGGUAUAGGUCACAGCUCUGACCCCUGGCUCAGGAAUUUAACAUAUGCCACAGGGGCAGUGGGGAAAAAAAAGGAAAGAAAGAAAUAAUAAUUACAAAAAAAUAAAACAGACUUCCUGUUGUGGCUCAGCAGUAAAAAACCUAACCAGUAUCAAUGGGAUGCAGGUUCAAUCCCUAGCUCAAUGGAUUAAAGAUCCGGUAUUGACAUGAGCUGCCAUAUAGGUCAAAGACACGGCUUGGCUCAGAUCUGGCGUUGCUGUGGCUGUGGCAUAGGCUGGUAGCUACAGCUCCAAUUAGACUCCUAGACUGGGAACUUCCAUGUGCCUCAGGUGUGGCCAUUAAAAAAAAAAAGAUAUACACUGGAAUUCUGGUGCAGUGGGUUAAGGAUCUAACAUCAUCACUGCAGUGGCUCGAGUUGGUGCUGUGGGUCGGGUUUGAUCCCUGGCCUAAGAACUUCCAUAUUUGGCAGGCAUGGCAAAAAAACAAAAAAGAAAGAUGCAUACACCUAAUGUUUGUAGCAGUGCUAAUUGCAAUAGCCAAGACAUGGAGGCAACCUAAAGGUCCAUCAACAGGUGAAUGGAUAAAGAGGAUGUGCUUUGGGGAGUUCCCAUUAUGGCUCAGUGGUAACGUACCCAACUAGUAUCCAUGAGGAUACAGGUUGGAUCCCUGGCCUUGAUCAGUGGGUUAAGGAUCUGGCAUUGCCAUGAGGUGUUGUAGGUCGCAGACAAGGCUUGGUUCCUGAGUUGCUAUGGCUGUGGUGUAGGCAGGCAGCUGCAACUCCAAUUUGACCCCUAACCUGGGAACUUCGGUAUGCCCGGUGUGGCCAUAAAAAGACCAAAAAAAAAAAAAGGAUGUGGUUUAUAUAUACAAUGUAUAUACAAUGGAAUAUUACUCAGCCAUAAAAAGAAUGACAUGAUGCCAUUUAUAGCAAUAUGCAUAGACCUAGAGAUUAUCCAGACAAAGAUAAACAUCAUAUGACAUCGCUUAUAAGUGGAAUCUUAAAAAAAAAAAAAAGUGUUCCUAUUGUGGCACAGUGGAAACCAAUCUGACUAGUAACCAUUAAGACAUGGGUUCAAUCCCUGACCUCACUCAGUGGGUUAAGGAUCCAGCAUUACUGUGAGCUGUGGUGUAGGUCAAAGAUCUGGCUUGGAUCUCGAGUUGCUCUGGCUGUGGCUAGGGCUGGCAGCUGCAGCUUCGAUUCAACCCCUAGCCUGGGAACUUUCAUAUGUUAUAGUACGGCCCUAAAAAACAAACAAAUAAAAAAUUUAAAUAAAUAAAUAAUAUAAAAUUUUUAAAAAGAGAUACAUGGAGUUCCCGUUGUGGCUCAGUGGUUAAGGAAUCUGACUAGGAACCAUGAGGUUGCAGGUUCGAUCCCUGGCCUCGAUCUGUGGGUUAAGGAUCCAGUGUUGCUGUGAGCUGUGGUGUAGGUCGAAGAUUCGGCUUAGAUCCCACGUUGCUGUGACUCUGGCGUAGGCCGGUGGCUAUAGCUUCGAUUAGACCCACAGACUGGGAACCUCCAUAUGCCGCGGGAGCAGCCCAAGAAAUGGCAAAAAGAC
Molecule: long non-coding RNA, 5364 nt
Filed under: Sus scrofa (pig)
Lineage: Eukaryota; Metazoa; Chordata; Mammalia; Artiodactyla; Suidae
Description: lncRNA (ENSSSCG00000055139.1)
Source: RNAcentral